UCCAGACUCCUACGGGAGGCAGCAGUAGGGAAUCUUUCACAAUGGGCGAAAGCCUGAUGGAGCAACGCCGCGUGCAGGAUGAAGGCCUUCGGGUUGUAAACUGCUUUUAUAAGCGAGAAAUAUGAUGGUAACUUAUGAAUAAGGAUCGGCUAACUACGUGCCAGCAGCCGCGGUAAUACGUAGGGAGCAAGCGUUGUCCGGAAUUACUGGGUGUAAAGGGAGCGUAGGCGGGAUGGCAAGUUGGGUGUUAAAUCUACCGGCUCAACUGGUAGUCGCACUCAAAACUGCUAUUCUUGAGUGAAGUAGAGGCAGGCGGAAUUCCUAGUGUAGCGGUGAAAUGCGUAGAUAUUAGGAGGAACACCAGUGGCGAAGGCGGCCUGCUGGGCUUUUACUGACGCUGAGGCUCGAAAGUGUGGGGAGCAAACAGGAUUAGAUACCCCUGUAAAC
Molecule: ribosomal RNA, 447 nt
Filed under: uncultured bacterium
Lineage: Bacteria
Description: bacterial SSU rRNA
Rfam family: Bacterial small subunit ribosomal RNA
Source: RNAcentral